RNAcentral lists this ribosomal RNA (253 nucleotides) under uncultured bacterium. Its description in RNAcentral is "partial 16S ribosomal RNA". It matches the Rfam family "Bacterial small subunit ribosomal RNA", at positions 524 to 776 of the family's 1533-position model. The record is from RNAcentral.
UACAGAGGUCUUAAGCGUUGUUCGGAUUCAUUGGGCGUAAAGGGUGUGUAGGUGGCGCCGUAAGUGGGGUGUGAAAUUUCGAGGCUUAACCUCGAAACUGCAUUCCAUACUGCGGUGCUUGAGGACUGGAGAGGAGACUGGAAUUUACGGUGUAGCAGUGAAAUGCGUAGAUAUCGUAAGGAAGACCAGUGGCGAAGGCGGGUCUCUGGACAGUUCCUGACACUGAGACACGAAAGCGUGGGGAUCAAACAGG